UACAGCCAGCUAUACAUCCAAUCGAACACAGACGUAAACGGUACAAAGAGCAUUUCCCAAGAAUGAUUUCACGGCACGAGCUGUUCUGGAAGCACCCUGACACUCAGGAUGGCCGUAAAUCGCUUCAGAUAGGUUAAACAAAUUACCAACCCUUCGGGAGGUGGUCCGCUCACUCCCACCCUCUCUACGUGCCACCGUCCUUCUGCUUAUUUGCUUCGCACCGCGCAAUGAAAAUCAGCUGGAAAGUUUCGUUUUUGCUUUUCGUCGGUUUCACUUUCCAGCUGCUUGCAAGCCACGAAAAGUUUCUGUUUGCGUUAAACCCGAGCGAUAGGCGGGGAAGAAGGGAGAGGCACGAAGGCAGCCCAGCGGGCGCUCCGGCAGCACUCGCCGAGGUCAUAGAUGUUUAAACGGCUGCGUAUAAAAUUCCAUUUUCUGCUGGAAGAACAUUUAAAGUCACCUGAAAAUCAUUCUGAGUAAUAUAAGGACUAGAUAAAGCAAUAUAGGGACCUCUUUGUCUCUUUUCAUGGACUGAUGUGAAUAAAUGGAUUUUUCUAAAAUAAAACAAAAUUAAAUUGAGAUUAUUUACCAGUCUAAAUUGGAUGUGCAGAUUUCAGCUACUUGCAGAUGACUGACCAAAUGCCCCUGUUUUCAUCCAUUGUAGAACUUCCCAGAAGAAGCCAUGGAGGCAUAAUUUCUUUACUGUCUUGUAUCAGAUAGACAUCCAAGUACUCAUGAAAGGCAUUUAUGAAAUUGAGAUGGUAGCUAAACCCAGUAUAUGAGACAAGAGAAGACAAAUCCAUCAGAGGAUUUGCAGUUUAUUCCCUUAAGAUGUAUAAUUAUUUGUCUGGUAGCGCUCCCUUUGUGUAGCCGUCCUUUCUUCAAUCAAGCAAAGGUACCAUCUGUAGGGAAUUCUGAAGAUUUGAUGUAAAUAUUUCAUGUUUGCAUUAAGUUUUAUUAACUCAUAAAAAACAAGCAGCAAUGCAGUGCUUGGAUAAGGAUUGGGCAACUCAUGCUAAUUUUAAAAUCUAGGUCACUUUAAUCAAAUUUACAUUUCUCUCCAUCCUUGUUGGGAAAGCAGAAAAUCUCAAAUUCUGAAGUUACAAUAAAAUGGCUGUUCACCACUUCAGCACACAGCAGUGUUGACAAACAGUGACCAGCAGGCUUGCACUCCACAUUUACUAUCAGCAAACUGGUUUAUCAUCCAGACUUCAGGUGAAAACACUGCUGGGAACAUUUACCAUGAUCUCUAGGACCAUGAAGACAGAAAUUUGGACUAGACUGUGAAAACCAUAAGGUCAAUAGCUCUGCUGUCUUCUUCCAGAUGAGUAGUAUGUAUGUAAUACAAAACAGUUAAAGAAAUACAGCUAGUGUUUAUUUUCUAAAACAGGUAACAAGUGCAUGAAUAUAGCUCCACCAAAAUGAGCAAGCUAUAAGUUGGCAGCAGCUUUAUGAGAUGAGUGAAGUUCAAUUUUGAUGGAUUGGUUAGAAAAACUGCAGGAAAUUUAAUUAUUACAAAAUUGAGUUACUUCUUUUUCUGUGUCCUUUGAGGUAUCUUCUAUCUUCACCUGAGCUACACAGCAGUCAUCAUGUUAAUCCAGAUCUCUUUCAAAGAAGCUGCUGGUCAGUAGGAGUUAUUUAGUGGCUUCUGAUUUGUCUGAAAUGAGUUGAACUGUAAAAACCCCUCUUUAAUGUUGCAAUGAUGUAUCAAAAUAAAAGUUUGAUGAGAACAGUACAAUGCUAGGCAUGAUUCGUUUCAAUAGUAAAAUAAAUGUUUAUGGGGAAAAAAAGAAGGGCCCUGAGAUUUAAUUGAUAUGAUCAGCUGGGUUUUUACACAGUUUGACAAACUAGUAAAAUUAAAACGCAUCAAGCAGUGGCAUAUAAUAAAAUGUUUAUCGUGUCCUUAACUUGUUUUUUAUUUUUAUCAAAAUAUGGACGGGUGCCUUAAAAAGACACAAAUCCAGGAUUCUCUGGCUUCUUUACCUGCUUUUCAUGACAAAGAUGAUGAAGACAAUCAUUCUUUGAUAGGAUUAAAUCAGCUGAAUAUUUAGAAUUAUGGUACCAAAAUGAAUGGGAGGAUUAAAUGGAUAAAAAUGUUAAUCCAGUCGUAGACAACAAAAUUCAGCCAUUCAGAUCUGGCACUGUGGGAGCAGCUCUAACAGAGUAUCAAGGAUUUGAGGUAAAUUGCUGUUUGUUUCAUUCAGAGAGUGGGUGGAAUACGCUAUUUCCCUUACUGAUUCAUCUCCUUUCCUGGAAGAGAUGCCACCAAAUUUAACAGGAUUACUUGCAAAAUAGUGCAUUGCUCAACAAGAACAGGCAUGGCAGAUCAUUUCCUUAAGAUGUUCAGGUGCAAAAACAAACCAAACUCUAUGAGAAAGAAUUAAUUAGUUUAAAAUUUUUUGAACAUCGUGCCAAGAUUAAGACUUUGAAAACAUCAGCUGGAACCCUUCUGAAAGAGUUGUCUAAUUGUGUGGUAUUUAAUUACUUAUAGGUGUAUUUGCCAACUGGAAAAGCAAAAUAAAGUCAGGGAUUACAUGCACAGAAAGAGCAACUACACAGUUUAGAUCCUGAGUUUGUUUAUCUCACUUUAUUAAAACAGAGAAAUAUAUAUACGGCACAGAACUACUUGUUGUGACAUUACUUUCUAAACUUAAGUCAAAAACCCCACAUACGAGUGAUGAAAUGUUCCAAACAAUGACAUUCAUCUUCUUGAAUCAGAUUCUUGAAGCUGAUUCUUUUGUACCAUGUAAAUCUUAAUUGUUCCCGGAUAUAAACAUAUUGAAAUCAGCUGCUAGUUGAACAGUGAUUUUUUUCCAUCAUGAAUUGAAGGUAUUUUGUAUUACAGAAAGCCUUGAAUCCAUACCUAAAGCAAUGGUUGUCAACACCAACAAAGCAGUAUUUAUUGGCUUCAUAAGUUUUAAAAACUACUGAUUUUUUUUUUUUUUUUGGCUUCCUACACUGGGAUAAUUAUGAACUGUCUUUAGUGAUCCCUUAGUAAAAUAACAGUUGGCUGGUAAUAGAUAAAGCUGAAGUCAGUCCUGGCUGUAAUAGAAACGUUCACCAGAAGCACGUUUUGAAUUUGUGCUUCUGCUUGGAAUGAGAUUGGAAUACUUUUAUUGCCUUUCUUUUCAGGUCAUGAUUAAAAGUUAGACAUCAUAAGAUCUAUUGGUUGGAAGCAGGAAGACUUACACCAUUCAUAAGCUACAUUUAAAAUGCCAGACACACUAGUCCAUAUUUAUAUAGGGAUUUUUUCUUUCUUGAAUAUUUAGAAUUUCAUACCUGAGCUUAUUUUUCUUCCAGUAGAUUUUCUGUCAGGAUAAACAGUAGUUUCCAUUUCAUCAGAUGGACCACCAGGAGUUCAGCAUGAAUUGUCUGGAAAAUUGGUUUUCUUCUGGUACCUGGCAACAUUUAGGAUGGAUUGACUGUGUUUAGGACUUCUUGACCUAGUUCAGUGGCAAGGAGGUUACCUUUCCAAUUUAAGCAGCUCUGCCUCUAACUUGAGGAGUUUUGAGACACACAAGAUCUCUAUUAUCUUGUUCUGAAUUGCAGGGCUUGGGGUUCUUGCUAUGACUCCUUUUUUCCAGCCCUUUUGAAGUACCAGGCUCAUGUUGUGACAGACAAAGAAGCUGAAGAAAGUUUUCAUCAACUUCUUCACAUAAGGGUGCAUUUUAAACUUGUUCAGUAAAAGGCCUCACAGUGCAAGUCCUUGUCUGGCAAGAUAACAGCCUGAGUUCAGCGUACUCACGGCACACUAAUUAGUCUCUUCAUUCAGAUUUUCCUAUUUUCUUUUUCUUUUUUGUUUUUCUUUUUCUUUUUCCAAGAGUACUGAAUAUAUAGCAUGUCGCCAACAUUCUCUGUGGUUUUCUGGAAGAGUUUAACUGCUUCAUGGUGGCUUGGAGAAGGCUGGUUCCUCUCUUUUUCUUUUUUUUUUUUCAAGACUUUUUCAAGACUUUUUCUUCCAAAUGAAGUAUCCAGAUGGUGCGAAAGCAUCAUCUGUGUGUUCAGCACCUACAAACUCUACGACGGUGGAAAUCAAAUAUACUUCACUAGCUUCAGAAUAAUGGAACCACUGAAAAUUUACGAACCAGGAUGAGCACAAAGAACAGUCUUGUUUUGUGAAGUUAUGUGCAGGAAAAAGCUCAAGUCAUGGUUGAUGAGGUGUCUUAGAAAUGUUAACAGUGUCAAGCAACUGGCAAUUGGUUCCUGUGGCAGGAAAUAGCUAAGGCAGCUCAGUGCUACAAGCAGUAGAAGCUGACCUUAUUGUUGUUGGAAUUGUAGUUUCCUCCUUUUUAAUCAUCUGUGUUAUAAGCGAAUUUGUUUUAGCCUUUGAAGAAUACAUAUUCUACUUUUGUGUGGUCUCUGCUCAUUUGGUAAGAAUGGUACUGGCUAAUGUACACACAGCUCUUGGGCAAGCUAAACUGCUUAGCUGGUCACUUGGUUUAUGCAAUUGUGUUUGUUACAGAAAGAUGGCAGGAUGCAUGUCUAUGCCAUGAAGGACUAUUAAAAACAAAGACACCACCUCUGGCUUUGGGAAUCUCAGAGCCACAAAUUGCCAGUGGCUGGGAAGACACUGGGGAGAGGUACCACUGUGCAGUUGCCCAAUGCAUUGCAGUGGGGCGUUGCUGGAGACAGAAUGCCAAGCUUUGAUCUGACCCACCAUGUCUGUGUUCAUCUACAUCUGCUUUUAUGUUUUGUCUGUGCACGAUAUUUUUAACAAAGGAUAGGCAAUAAAUUAAAUCAUUUUUUGUUGGUCUGUGAGGAAAACUAUCCACUUGAAACCAAUGCCCUAGCCAGUGUCAGUGUUUUGUCCUGCUCUUUAUGUUGAUAUAGGUGGUGAUGAACAUUAAUACAUAUGAGACAUGUGUAGAAAACACAAGUACCUGUUAAAGUCUUAGGUUCUUGCCAAGAAAAAUGGGUCAGUGAAGUGAAAACUUUUUGUUCUCUUUGAAGCAUCUCUGUAGUUCUAGCUGAUUCUAUUUUAACACUGGAAACUAUUUAAUUCUUCUUUACUUUCCUCUAAAGUAACCUGUAAUCUUUCCAGGCAUUUCAAGUAAAGACAAUAGUAAAUCCUUCUGAAUGCUACUGUGGAUACCUCUUUUCAGCCUGAGAGAUUCUAUUGACUGUAGAAGUGAGUAGUUUCUGUUUAUUUUCUCAUGUUCUUACAAACAAAAAUACAACUGACAAAUGCUCCCUAUAAAGCAAUAACAAGAUAAGAAAAAAAAAAGGAAGAAAAAUAAAUAGUCUGAACUUCUAUUUGAGAUUUUUCAACUUGAGCUCUUUGAAUCCAAGUGAUGAGUGUGUUCAGUGAUGACAGCUCACACUGGUACCUUGUAUGCUGACCAGCCUUCCAAAUGGUAAGUCAUGUGUAUUUUAUUUUGGUUUUGAAGGACCUAUCUUAGGAAAGGGGGAUCACACAGCUUGAAAUUUUGCUUGCAACAUGAAAAGAAAGAAUAAUACUCCUUCUUCAUUAUGUUUUGAUCUUUGCUCCAGAGUGGAUGAACACUACUCCGAAGUCCCUUUCAAAUGAGAAGGGUCUGGAGAUGAAAUCAAUGUAGUCAGCCUGGCCCACAGUCCUCAGCUCAGUGUUGUGGUGAGAAGAUCCACUACUAUCUCACCAUGGAAUAUACAAAAAAUACUUGUUAUGCAUAUAGACUGUUCUAAUUUUUGAAAAGAGGAAAUCUGGGAUGUAGCAGGAGUCUCUUUUGGUGAAGCUAUGAUUGGAAACUUUUGAGAAGCAGGCAUCAAACUCAUGAGAAAUGAUUAUUACCUUUCACAUGCUUUCUUUAUAAAGUGUUUUCUCACUGUGGAAAGUACUUCAAUGUUCUGAGCAUUCUUUAAAAUAUGGACAUGUUGCCAACUUAAGAAAAUAAGGAACUUCAUCAUUGCAAUUCCUGUUACAUAACCCUCUCCACCUCUGCUUUUCAUCUUAUACUCACGGCUUAAGUUUUAAGACCUGCCUCAGUGUGAGUUUGUGUUCUUUGUACCAGUAACACUUUGGCUAGAGCAUCAACAUCAGACUUACAAUGAAAAAAACAUAGUUUGCUUCCGACCUCUUCAUGCGGUGUUUUGCAUUUUCAAUAUUAAAGCAUUACUGCACAAACAUCAUUCUGGAUUGAGCAAUUUGUUUCAUGCAAAAUUUGCUAUGCCUGGUGAAUUGAUCAUUUUGAGUUUCCUGGUAAAUGAUACAAGAUACUCUUUUUUCCAUUUCAGAUUCAGGUCAAAGUGUGGCCUCUCAUCAGAGACACUGCUGAGUCUUGCUCUUGUUUUCCUCCGGGAUAUGGCAGCCUUGGCUCUUUGGUCUUAGAUCAUUCACAGCGUCUUCCCCUCUGCUAUCUUUUUUUGCACCUUUGGUUUAGACACUGUUCCUAUGUUUUACUUUCUGUGCAGUGCACCUCUCCUCAUGUUUUUUUUUUCCUCCUGUUUCAUGAUUUUUUUUAUUUUCAGACAUUAAAUGAAAAUGGGGAGAGACCAAGUCCACCUGAGUCCACUAGCUACAGAGAGAAAGGUCUCACAACAUCUUUCUUUCUGCCUGCACUUGCUGACUGAAGACAAAACAGCAAGUCUCCAGUCACUCUGCUGCAAAUGGAGUUAUGCUGUCCUUCCAGCAAUUUUUUCUCUGACAGAAACAAUCAUAGUGGUCAGAGCAGAUGGAUUGUACUGGUGUUGCAAAGGCUUCUUUUCCAGAUAAGAAACUGGAAGCAGAGAGAAGAGAGUUACAGAAUGUGAGUGGACAGCGAUGGACACCAAGUUGAGCAUGAGCCAGCAGCAUGCCCUGGCUACUAAGAAGAUAUCCUGGGCUGCCUUAGGCAAAGCACUGCCAGCAGGUCGAGGGAGGGAGAUGAUCCUUCCCCUCUAUUCAGCACUGGUGAGGCCACACCUGGGGUGCUGGGUCCAAUUCCAAGGCCCCUAGUGCAAGAGAGGCAUGGACAUACUGGGAAGAGCCCAACAGACAGCUGCUGAGGUGAUGAGGAGUCUGAAGCGCUUCUCCUAUGAGGAGAGGCUGAGAGAGCUGGGGCUGCUCAGAUGGAGAGGAGGAAGCUCAGGGGGACAUCAAUGUCCAUAAAUUCUUGAUGGGGAUGUGCCAAGAAGCCAGGCUCUGUCAGUGGUGCCUGGUGCCAGGACCAGAGACCAUGGGCACAAAUUGGAGCACAGGAGAUUCCCUCUGAACACCAGGAGCACUUCCUUGCUGCACAGGUGAUGGAGCACUGGCAUGCUCCUGUUCUUGUUGGCACAGGGGCUGGAGGAGAUCCAGAGAUCAAACACUUCCCUACCUCAACCGUUAUGUGAUUCUGAUUCUGUGAAGUAUGGACAUUUGGACAAUAACUUUGUCUUCCUAUAGAAUUAAUGGAGGAGAACAGGCCCCAGUACUAGUUUCUUACUCUGAAUUGUACUCAUGAAUGUUUUUCUCCUUUCCAUUGACUGCUGAGAUAUCCUUAGAAGGCUGGUUGUGUAAUUUAGGCACCUAGGUCAGAUCCUGAAAAUUGCCAAGACAGGAAUGGUGCCACAAUAAUGGAUUUGUUCUUUUGAAUUUGCCUGUGAGACCUGCUGGCCAGUAAAUACUGACAGAUGUGUUGAUAAGGAAUCAUCAAGCUUAGAGUGGGAAAUCUGAGCUGACAUCUUAGUGCCACCAAAUUAUCUGAUACUGAAUUCACUGGAAUUGGUAUUUCAGCCCAGUGGGCGAAGUGCAGCAAGAUACACAUUCAUUUUGUCUCAUCCCAUCCUGUCCCAUCCUUUCUUGUCUUGUCUCAUCCCAUUCUGUCUCAUUCCAUCCUAUUCCAUUCCAUCCCAUCCUGUUCCAUCCCAUCCCAUUUCAUUCUGCCCCAUCCUGUUAUGUUCCAUCCCAUCCCGCCCUGUCCCAACCUAUUUCAACCCAUCCCAUCCCAUCCCAUCCCAUCCCAUCCCAUCCCAUCCCAGUCUUCCUGAUGGAAUGCUCUCAGCACUUUGUAUCACACAGAGAAAAGAUGCUCAGUUCCACAGUUCCAGUUUACUCAACUCACAUAAAAUUCAGUGAAGAAAUGAACAUGGAAAGCAAUUUGUCUUUUUCAUGUCGAAAUUUGUAUGACAGUGAUACUCUCUUAAUUGAAAGCUGUGUUUUCCUGCAAAAGAAAAAAGAAGGCUGUCUUUUCUAUCCAGCAAAGUUCAUUGUGGUUGCUAGAGAAAACAGACUUUGAAGACACUUCAAUGAAUAUACUGCUCUUACUGUUAGUUUCCCCUGAAUCUCUCACAGCAUAAUUAAAUGUUGGUCUCUGUAAUCAAUGACUGUUAGCUGUUACCUGGGCAUAUCCUGAUAUUUUCAUAAAGAUCAGAGGUCACACAUAAGGAUUUCCAAGAAUUUUCAGUGCAGAGGAGGAGAGCUUGCCAAGUGGUUUGGAUAAACCUGAAGGCAUGUCUGGGCUGCUCGUGGUGUUCAUAAUCCCUGCCUUAGAUCUGCCUAGCUGUGUAUGUGCGCAUGGACCAGGGUGUUACCAAGGGAACACAGAAGCUGGAGUCCCAAAAGCUAAGCACCCAAAGCUGAGUGGUUGUACCUACUGGGAUCUUGCCCUUCUUAUUGGAAACUGUUACUGGUGAAUCUGCCCUGUUUCUGGCUCCAUACCUGUUGAUGAUGAGUUGAGGAUGAGUUUGGUGAUCUCAGUACCAGAAUCUUCUGUACUCAUAUCUUCACUGUGUAGAAAUGAAGCUGCUCAGGGAGGUGAUGGAGUCACGGUGCCUGGAGUUGUUAAAAAACCGCAUAGAUUUGGCACUGAGGGACAUGGUUGGUGGUCAUGGUGGGGAUAGGCUGACAGUUGGACUAGAUGAUCUUAGAGGUCUUUUCCAAUCUUCAUGAUUCUACAAUUAUAUGAUUCUCUGAACUAUUUAUUAUCCCUAGGAUUUUAAUGUAGAGCCAUUGGGUAGUUGCUAAAACUGAGUGGGUCGUCAGGUACAAACCGAUGUCUUGUUCCUUCUGGAUGAAAACAAUUUUUAACAAAGUCAUCCAGCAGCAUAUAUAUUUGCAUUUGCCAUAAGGGAACUUGCUUAUAGGUCUUGCCAGAGUGGGCACAGAAAGAAUAAGACAACUGGUAUGAAGAGGCAUGCAGCAGAUGGCCUCUGCACUCCACUGAAUCCUUACACUUGAGUCACCUUUAAUCCUACAGAAGCUGCUGACGCCCUGCCUGCUGUGUUAAAUAUAUCUGAGUAAGAGGGACUGGCUGCUGUGUGAGGCUUGCUUUCCCUUGUUGUACAUCUGUAUCAGCCAGGGCUGUUUGGUUGUCCUAGCAGGGUGAGAUCAAGGCAGCACCUUCCAUCCGUCCCCAGGAGCUUGGCACUGAGGGGUUCUUUUUCAAAGUCAUUUUUCCCUGAAAUUGACUUGUCUGACUCACUCGGGUUCAGAAAAGGGAGAGUGGGUGUGUGUGAGAGGUUUACACAAGAUUAUUACACUCUCUCAAUAUUCCACGUUUCUUGUCAUCCAUCUGUAGUUUCAGAGAAUCCAAAAAUUAACCUUGGAUGGGAAACAAAGCCCAGCUUUUAAAUGUGCUGCCAUUUUCGGGUGUCUUUUCUUUCAUGUUCUGAGGCACUUUUCUGGAAAUAUACUUAAGUGACUGGCUACAAAACAGACUUGAGAUGUGAUUUAUAUGGAGAGGACAGCUUGAGAGCACAGUGCACAGAAGUUUGUCAUGUUUGGCUUGUCCUGAAGGGAAAAAGAGAGCUGUGUGUUUUCCUUUGUCUGGAGAGAACACACCUCAAGAUGCUGUUACUGUAUUUUAGGGAGUGGGGACUGUGUGGUUUGCUCAGGAGUCUUUGGGAGGGUCAUCAGAAGAUGCUGUUCAAAAUUAGAAGCAGGCUGUUAUUUGAAGGUGCCCACUGGGGACACGGUGAGCAGCAGCUUCUGAAAGAAUCAUAGAACUGUUUGAGUUGGAAGGGACCCUUAGCGGUCAUCUGGUCCAACUCCCCUGCAGUGAACAGAAGACAGAUGUAGGUACCAUCUCAUUAGGUCAUCUGGCAAAACCAGUGUAGGUAGAAAGAGUUGGAAUGGAGACACAGCAGAAUUUCCUGAGGAGGAGGCACCUCUGGGAUGUCUUAGCUACUUCACUCCCUAUGUAGAAAUACUUGAGAAGCAACAGGAUAAUGUCACAUAGCCAGCACCAACAGAUGGGGCAAGGGAUGGGUUUUUCCCUGUGCACUUUUCCCUGGAGGAGGAAAGAGGAAAAAGCUUCAAACCCUUGGCCAAUUAUUCAGUCAUGCAGUUAAUGCUGAGAAAAAUCAACUGAAGGAAAAAGACAAGACAGGAAAUUGUGGUGGAGAUGGACCCUGGAAUAUGGAGUGAAUGGGAAGCUGUGUGAAAGAAAAAAGGAUUAGAUCACAGAAGGAGAAAGAAGACGGGUGAGAGAAUGGAGGAGAGGGAGAAAAUGAAAAGGGCCUUAAGGGACAAUUGUUCAUUUUCAAAAAGGGAAAAGAAAGAAUAAGAGUAAAAAUUAAAGUAAUGAGGAAAGAGGCUGGAAUCAGAAGGAGCAGCAGCAGAAGAAUCUACUCAGAAAACAAGAAUCCAGAGAUCAAGGAGUAAACAAAUUUACUGAGGUUUUGAAAAGAAAAAUGGGGGGGAAAAAAGAAAGUUGCAGAAAAAAAUAAGCAAAACUAGGUGGAGGAGAGUAAAAGAGAAAAGUGAAACAAAAUUAAGGGAGAUGAUUUUUCUGUGCUCUAGUAAGCUUCCUUCUGAGCUAUUUUGAUAGAAAAUAUCUGACAUUUAUGGGGGAACUCUGGGAGAAUUGUGGCUUGGGGAAACCGACCUACCUGUACUUAGAAGACAUUGGUGCUAGAUUAAGCUCUGCAGUAGGAAGGGGAGGUGGUGGCUAUGGAUGGUCCUAGCACGUGAGUUCCUGACCCUUGCAAGUUUCUGCAGGGCCUUUUAGAAGACCCUGCUUAGUAACAUAAGGCCCACGUUUCAGUUCUCAGUGUACAAAAGCACAUUGUGUCGAAGCAUAUCUAGAAACAUGGCAAAGUCGAGUCGCACUGCCUGGCAUCUCACGGCUACAAGUCCUCAUUUUUGAAAGUGAGACAAAGCCAAAAGCGUUACCAGGGUGGCAUUGCACUGUCUACAGAGAGGAACAAGAGAAUAAUAAUGGAAUAACCUACUUUAAAACGGACCUCUACACACCUCCAGAGCACAACUGGUGCUCCAUCCCCAAGCACUUUGGUGGUGCUCCACGGGGCUCAUUCCAGUGUAUCAACAUCUGUUUUGUACCAGGGAUCCUGCAGUUGCAUGAGAGGUUUAGCAGCAGAGGCAUAGGAUUUGGGGCUUAUGGUAUAAAUGCAACACAAAUUUGAAGGUUACACUGUGCAGAUGUUGAAAAAUCUCAGUCGCUACCCUGUUAUUAAGGUUUCAGAAUCUAGGCAUUUCCAUUUUAGCAUAAUUGCAUAGAGUGUGGUAGCUCAAAUCCAAGAAAAACACUUUUCUAAUAGCCUGAGAGCAUGCAGUUUAAAACUGAUACCCGUUUAAAAAGUAAUUUCUCCCAUUUGAUAUUAAACUGGUUCCUUUUUUUUUUUUUUAAUCCAGAGGGCUGUUUUGAAGGAAAGGAAGUUUUGCUCUGUCACAUGGCUGUUAUUGUGGAGAUUGAAAAUAGCAAAGCACACCAGACAAAAUUAGCAUUGCUGUGCAUUCAGAUACACUGCUUCUUAUUUGCUCCUUUACUAUGAAAUAAUAAAGUUUAGAGCCAGAUAUUUAUGAUUCACCCACUUUUGAUCAAACGAAGCCCUUUUACUUGAGGCGAGAGAAAGGUUUAUUAAACACAGACACCAGAUGACUCAGGAUAUUUGUCUUUUUCUAGGAUAAUGUUAGAAUGUAGAGCCAAAACCUAGUUCAGAGGCUGCCCUGAGGCUCCUUGGGGUUACAGUAUUUUAAAAAAACAGGCAAUAGCCCUUGCUUCCAGAACUACAAAACUCAUUUCCCUGACUCAUCUUUCCAAUAACAUUCACAACAUCAUUUUGAAAAACAAGAAAACCCAAUGACCAAAUCCAAACAUUUUCCUUGAACGCAGCUGGAGUGAGAGGCUGAGCUUUUAUUUGGCCUGCAAGCUAUACAGUGACAUACAGAUACUAUGGGAAGAGGGCACCUCAGGUGGUGGAGGAAUGCAUGUCAGAUAAAAUCACAGUAUGUGUUGCAUUGUGGAAGUGGUAUUUGUACACCUUUGAGCAAACCAGCCACUUUAUUCCUGGUAUUAUCACAGGGAAGUUUUGCACUGCAUAACCAAAUGGACACCAUUUGCAUUCCAAAUACUUGUUACAUAAAUAUUUGUUAUCUCCUUGUUUUGCUAUGAGCUUUGCAGAUUCAUUUGGACUGUGCCUCGUGAUCCAGAUGCUGGGCUCAUUUAGUUUUGUUCAGUUCCCCUUCCCUCUGACUUCCUCUAUGACUUUUGACUGAAGUUUCUUUGUACUUUAGCUCACAACUCACAAAACAGGGACAAGGGCUCAAGCUGGCCAAGGAAAAUACCUUUAACCAUUAGGAGGAUCUUGAAUUGAACCACAGAACCACAGAAUCAUAGAAUCGUAGAAUCACAGAACCACUGAACCACUGAACCACAGAAUGGUUUGGGUUGGAAGGGACAUUAAAGCCCAUCCAAUUCCAACCUCUGCCAAGGACAGGAACACUUUCCAGCAGCUCAGGUUGUCCAAGGCCUGGUCUUCCAUGGUUGGGGCAUCCAUGACAUCUCUGAGCAGUUCAUGCCAGUGCCUCACCAUGCUUGGAGCAACAAUUUCUUCCUAGUAUCUAAUCUAAACCUAUCCUUUUUUAGCUUAAAACUGUUACCCCUUAUCAUACCACUGCACUCACUGGUAAAGAGUCCCUCCCCAUCCUUCCUGUAGGCUGCCUUUAGGUACUGGAAUGCUGCUGUAAGGUCUCCCCAGAACCUCCUCUUCUCAAGACUGUACAAUCUCAACUUUCUCAGCCUCAAUUCACAGGAGAGGUGCUCCUGCCCUCUUAUCAUUUUCAUGGUCCUCUUCUGGACCUGCCUUAAGAGGUCCAUAUCCUUGUGCUGGGGCCCCAGAGCUAAAUGCUGUGUCACCAGCACGGAGCAAAUGGACAGGAUAACCUCCCUCUCCCUACUAGCCAUGCUUCUUUUUAUGCAGUCCAUGAUAUGGUUGGCUUUCUGGGCUGUUCUGGACUGCAAGUGCACAAUGGACUUGUGUUGAGCUUUUUAUCUGCCACUGUUUCCAAGAACUAUUUCUCUGCAGGGCUCCUCUCAAGACAGUCAUCUCUAAGUCUGUAUUCAUCUUUGGGAUCGACCUGACUCAGGUGCAGGACCUUGCACUUGGCCUUGUUGAACUUCAUGAGGCUUACACCUCUCAAGCCUGUCCAGGUCUCUCUGGAUGGCACACCUUCCCUCCAACAUGUUGAUCAUACCACACAGUUUGGUGUCAUCUACAAACUUGCUGAGGAUGCACUCAAUCCCACUGCUAUUGUCACCAACAAAGAUGUUAAAUAGUAUAGGUCCCAAUACAGACCCCUGAGGAACAAAACUUAUCACUGAUCUCCACCUGGACAGUGAACCCUUGAUCACAACUCUUUGAGUGCUACUGUACAGCCAGUUCCUUGUCCAUCAAAUAGCCAUCCAUCACACACACCUUUCUCCCUUUCAGAGGCAAGGAUUUCGUGUGGGACAGUAUCAAAUGCUUUACAUAUAAGUUCAGUUAAAUGAUGUCAGUUGUUCA
Molecule: long non-coding RNA, 13674 nt
Organism: Tympanuchus pallidicinctus (lesser prairie-chicken)
Lineage: Eukaryota; Metazoa; Chordata; Aves; Galliformes; Phasianidae
Exons: 4
Source: RefSeq, a predicted model, not a curated record